RNAcentral lists this long non-coding RNA (5840 nucleotides) under Gossypium barbadense (sea-island cotton). RNAcentral's name for it is "long non-coding RNA (GBAR_LNC001115)". Lineage: Eukaryota; Viridiplantae; Streptophyta; Magnoliopsida; Malvales; Malvaceae. The record is from RNAcentral.
UUUUGGACUGAAGCAGCUUCUACUACAUGUUUUUUUGAUCAACCGAUCCCCAUUCGUUGCCAUUGAAAAAAAGACUCCGCAAGAGGUAUGGUCUGGUAAUCCUGCAAAUUAUUCUGAUUUAAAGAUUUUUGGGUGUCCUGCGUAUGCUCAUGUUGAUAAUGGAAAAUUGAAACCGAGAUCCAUUAAACAUGUUUUUCUUGGUUAUAAAGCUGGUGUAAAAGGGUAUAAGUUAUGGUGUCCUGAAAAAAAAAAGUUGUGAUUAGCAGAGAUGUUGUUUUUGAUGAAACUGCUAUGUUGUCUAACUUAUCUCUUAAAGACUCUUCCAAUAAAGAAAAUCAAAAGUAGGUGGAACAUCAGAUUAAUACAGAGUCGACUCCUCAAGUCAGUACAAAAAUUGAGAAUAGAGUUGCUUCUUCACCGCAAUACUCUAUCGCCAAAAACAGAACUAGAAGAGAAAUUAAACCUCCAAAGUAGUAUGCUGAGGCUGAUCUAGUUGCUUAUGCUUUAAAUGUGGCUGAAGAUAUAGAUGCAAAUCAAGAGCCAUCUAAUUAUUCUGAGGCGGUUAGCUGUGAAGACUCAGAAAAUUGGAUGUUUGCUAUGCAAGAGGAGAUAGAAUCACUCCACAAAAACAGAAUAUGGGAUUUUGUAAAACUUCAUAUAGGUAAAAAGGCUGUUCGUUGUAAAUGGGUGUUUAAAAAGAAAGAAGAGACUCUAAGAGUUGAAGAACCCAGAUAUAAAGCAAUACUUGUUGCAAAGGGUUACAAUCAAAUUCUAGGAGUAGACUUCACAGAUGUAUUCUCCCCAGUUGUUAAGCAUAGUUCGAUUCGAGCUUUGCUUGGUAUUGUGGCCGCACAUGAUUUGGAGCUUGAGUAGUUAGAUGUAAAAACUGCACUUUUGCAUGGAUAACUUGAGGAGGAUAUUUACGUGCAACAACUAGAGGGUUUUACAGUCUUAAAAAAAGAGGACUAUGUUUGCUUCCAGAAAAAGUCCCUUUACGGUUUGAAACAGUCACCAAGACAGUGGUACAAGAAGUUUGAUUCCUUUAUGACUUCUCAUGAUUUCAAAAGAAGUAGUUUUGACAAUUGUGUUUACUUUAAGAAAAAUAGUGAUGGUUCAUUUGUGUAUCUACUUCUUUAUGUUGAUGACAUGUUGAUAGCAGCAAAAGAUAAAUGAGAGAUAAGAAAGGUCAAAACCCAACUAAGUGAAGAAUUUGAGAUGAAAGAUUUAGGACCAGCAAAGAAGAUACUUGGUAUGGAGAUUCUCAGAUAUAGAAAAGCAAGUAAAUUGUACCCAAGUUAGAAAGGGUACAUUGAGAAAGUUCUUUGCAGGCUCAAUAUGCAGAGUGCUAAGCUUGUUAGUACUCCUUUAGUAGCCCAUUUUAGACUUUCAUUGGCUUUGUCUCCAUAAUCAGAUGAUGAGAUUGAGUACAUGUCACAUGUUCCAUACUCUAGUGCAGUGGGAUCUCUCAUGUAUGCUAUGGUUUGUUCACGUCCAGAUUUAUCAUAUGCAGUCAGUGCAGUUAGCAAAUACAUGGUGAAUCUCGGUAAAGAACACUGGAAAAUUUAGUGGAUUUUAUGAUACUUACGAGGUACUACUGAUGUUUACUUACAAUUUGGAAGAACUAGAGAUGGAGUCGUUGGGUAUGUUGGUGCUACUUUUGCUGGAGACCUUGAUAGAAGAAGAUCUCUCACAUCUUAUGUCUUUACAAUCGGAGGUUGUGCAAUCAGUUGGAAAGCCACUUUGCAAACUACAGUCGCUUUGUCUACCACUGAAGCUGAGUACAUGGUGAUUACUGAGGCUUGUAAAAAAUCUAUUUGGUUGAAGGGACUUUUUAGUGAACUCAAUAAAGACCUUCAAAUCAACAUAGUAUUUUGUGAUAGUUAGAGUGUCAUCUUUCUUACAAAAGAUCAAAUGUUUCAUGAGAGAACAAAACACAUUGAUGUUCGGUAUCAUUUUGUUAGUGAUAUUAUUGCUCGUGGUGAUAUUGUUGUGAGCAAAAUUAGUACUCAUGAAAAUCCUGCAAAUAUGAUGACUAAGUCACUUUCUAUAACCAAGUUUGAGCAUUGCUUAGACUUGGUUGGUGUUUGUUGUUGAUGUUAAGCCCUUAAGGGGUUUUAUGAAAGAGGUGGAGAACUUGUUCGUUGAGAGUUCGCGAGCGAUGAAGAACUUGUUCGUUGAGAGUUCGCGAUGAAGAACUUGUUCAUUGAGAAUUCGUGUUAAGAUGGAGAUUGUUAGAAUUAAGUGACCCGAAUCCUUAUUUAAAUAAAAUAAUGUGGUAAAAUAAAAUAAAAGAAGAAUCCACCUAGAAUUACACUUCUUUUAUUUUAUUUUAGAAUAAGGUUUUUUAAACCUUAUUAAAUUCUAUCUAUUUGAUAUUGAUUAGAAUAAGGUAUUUCAGUCUUACUAGAAUAUGGCUUCACAAGCCUAUAAAUAGACAUAGUCUAUUCCUCUUGUAAUCAUUUGAAUUCGACAUAGUGAAUUUUCUUCUCCUCUGCUCGUGAUUUUUUCCCGAAAGGAUUUCCACGUAAAAAUUUGUGUGUUCUUUAUUUUAUUUUAUUUUCACAUUUAUAGUUGAAUUGUUCAUUUUUUAUUUCACCAAUUGUAACUUGGGAGGGUUUUAAUUGAGCCAUAAAAACUAAAAAAUAUUCUAGUUUAGCUAUUAAAGUUAGGAGGAAAGGUUUUGUCUAAGCCUUAAGAAAAAGAUAAUGAUGUACAUGUUAUACCUUCUCCUUAAAAGCCAUCAAUUUUAGUCGUGAAUUGGGAAAUCCUUAGAGGUGAAAAAUUACAGUAGUGAAGGUAAGCAAUUGGGGUCUAAUCACUAUAACUUCAUUUUAUCAAGCUAUUAUCCCUUGAUUUUUCCAUUUAGAAUAGUUUUUAAGAAAAUUUUCAAAAUACAAAUUCACCUUCCUCUUGGUAUAUUGGGGCCUAAUAGUGGAUGUAGUAAAAACAAAGGCAAAUUUCCAAUCACUAAACAUUGGAUGUUGCUUAAAGGGCUCACACACUUGAACAUCUAGAGGCUAAGCUCAGUUUUCUCAAUUCACAAAUCAAUUUAAUCAACAAAAGGAGGAAUACAGUCUUUCAAUACACUGCAAAUAUGAAAAGAACAUCAGUUUCGUUUUUCUUCCUUUGGUUCUUUUUGUAAAAAGAAAAAAAAGGAGAUCAGGUAAGGAAAGCAAAUUGGGAGUGAGAGCUGAAGCUGGAAUUGAUUGAGACAAUGGGAUAGUUUUGAGUCAAUAGGAGAUCACUGACCAAUUCAAGUUGUAUUUUGCUGGAGCUUGUAGGGUUCUUGUUUGUUGGUGUAAUAGGCCCAUUUCACCGGGGCCCAUUAGAAUAAAAAAAUAGAAAUUAAAAACUAAAAAUAAAACAAAAAUAAAAAAAAACACACAAACAAAAAAUCCAAAUGUCAAUGUCCUUUUACAAAUUUUACUAGCCCAAAUAAAAUUUCAAACACCCAACCCAAUUACGAAAAUAAUCCAUAACCCAAUAAGUCCUAAAACCCAAUUCUAAUUAACCCAUAUCCUAAAUCUAGCCCAAACUUGAAAGAGCCCAAAAAGGAAAAUUUUCAGCAGUCAAGAAAGCUCCUAGAAUGCACUGGAAGGGCACCAGAGGCACGGCUUCUCAUGUGAGAUCCCCGGGUCAUCUUCUCCGUACCUGCAAUAGAAUACAGUAUAUGACAGCAAUAAAAUGUAUUUUUAUUUUAUUUUUAUUCUGAAAUUUUGGCUAUAAAAGCUGAUGAUUGUACCUACAAAAAGGAGGACGCUCAUUAUACGCAUACAGAAUUUAAAAUUUUCAAAAAGGAAUUUCUAAAAGGUGAUCUUCUUUAGUUUUAAUUAUUCUCUUAUUUUUAUUUAUUUUUCCAGCAAUUAUCUUUAUCAUUUUGCAUGUAAAAACAAAAAGAAAGUCAAAUCUUACCUUGCGAAUCGGCUUUGGCCUUUGUUCACUUCGUUGAGAUUGAAAUUGAAAGGAGAAUCCAAAAGCAUUAUCCAUCAAGCCUCGAGAUGGCGCCAAUGAGAUCCCUAAUAUCUCUAAAAUACUGAGAUAAGGACGAGGGUCAGAGGCUGUUGAAUGUGUUGGUUUUCAACCUUGUUUUUUUUUUCUCUUUGAGCAAAUGAUUUGAGAUUUGAGAUAUUUUUUUUAAAAAUAAAAUAAAUUGGGUUACCAGAUUUCCUCGAGUGGACCUUCGAUGGUGAAGUCUGGUUGUUGUUCAUGCGUUAUCGACUACCAAAUAAAAUGGUGGUUCAAUGGCUGCAAAUAUGAACCAUAACAUUUUGAUUUUGGGGCUGUGCAUUUGGGUGGAUGAGUGGCUGCAUUUAAAGAAAGAAAAAGGAUAGAAGAAAGGUUCUAAAUAACCUAUUGGAAAAACGGGGUCGUCCACUAGCAAUGGAGGUCCGCGUAUUGGCCCGAAAUGUGAAUCGGAUCUGCGCCAUUUUGUAUGCAAGGGAAAUUUUCGCGCUAAGUCCUUUGCAUUCGCAUGGGGCUUCAACUGCAUCCUUUUUGCUUUGCUUUAUUUUUUAAUUUGGCUUACUGAUUUGAGCGCAUUUUCAUUUAAAUUCAUGAUACAGUGAUGUGAUUUAGGCCUGGGAGGAUUUACAAUAUCAGUCCCUAUAUAUUUAUGCAUGUUAUGCAUUGAUCUAUUUUAUGGUCAUUUUAGUUACAAAUUAUCCUUCUUAUCUUGAUGCAUUUUUAAUUGAGUUUUAUAUUUGUAUAAUCGGUUCAUUUAGAAGACAUUCAAUAUGUGUAUGCCUUGAUACAAGUUAAUAAUUUUGUUUGUUACAUUUGUAUAAUUAUUUUAGAUUGUUUUUUUUUACAUCAUGUAUUUUUGUUUUUUUUUUACAUCAUGUAUUCUAUUUCUUUAAAUAUUUUACAUAUAUUUGUAUAUUAAUCAUUUUUUUUAGUUUUUUAUAAUAAUUAUUGUUUUGCAUGUUAUAAAUUUUUUUUAUAUUACAUUGUUGUACAGGCCCAAUAUUGCCCUGGCCCAGACAAAUAAAAAAUAACAAAACCUAAAACAAUAAAAAAGAGUCCAAAAUAAUUAGCCCAUUUAUAAUAUUAAACAGCCCAAUUUACAUCAAACCCUAGCCCAAAUAACAGCCCACUUGCUUAAGGUUUUUCAGCAGCAAACCCCUGGCACCCCAGCUCUCCAUGCCACCAUGUCGGCCACCAUGCCCCUCAGCCUUGGCCACCACGCUCCACGCGUUUGACACUCCCACCAACUCCUCCAUGUGCACCCACCUGUUGAUUUCCAUCACCUGCAGAAUAAGACAAAAAAGAAAGCAAACACUAAUACAGAGGCAGACGACAGGAAGCAAUGGCAAGAAAUUUAAAAAAAUAUUGUAUUGAAAUAGCUAUAAAUGCCAGAUCUGAAUGUAAUACAGGGGAAAUUUUUUAGAGAUUUCAAAGGGAAGAAUCGGUUGUAUUUUGGGGGGAUAUAUAUUUUUUCUUCAGAGAUAAUACAAGCGGAAGAGUAAAUCAAGAAUCGGAACUAAGUUUUGAAAGGUGAUUUUUCAUUUUUUUUGGAAUUUUCUCUUGAUUUGGAUUUCGUUUGUUCUGUUCCAUUUUCAAUUUUUUUAAAAAAAACGGUUUUUAAAAAAAAAAACAAGAGAGGGAGAGAGGGGACUUACCAACGAACUCGCGACCUCGGCUCGCCGGACCUCCGAUGAGAGUGGCGCAGGCCUAAGAGAAAAUUUGAGAGCUUUCUCUCUGUUUUUCUUUAAGGAAAAUAAGAGAGAUGAUGGGUAAAUGUUUUUUUUUUGUUUUCAAAAAAAGGGUGUUCAAUGUUUUAAAAAUAAAAAAACAAAAAAGUAGGCUUCAUUUGUUUUUUUCCCCUCAAAAGUAGAGCCUGG